This 1066-nucleotide small RNA is filed under the name Arabidopsis thaliana (thale cress). RNAcentral describes it as "ATSL284660". The record is from RNAcentral. Lineage: Eukaryota; Viridiplantae; Streptophyta; Magnoliopsida; Brassicales; Brassicaceae.
UAAAUAUUUAAUUUAUUUUCCUAUUUGUUCCUCAUCAAAUUUUGGGAAGGAACAAUUUUCUUCUAACAUUCCUAAAAAAAUGAGGAAUGAUUAGGAAUAUUGUGAGGUCUACAUGUUACAAUUUGGAAAAAAAUAUUACUAGUGAUUGGUGAAAAAAAAGAGGAACAUGUUGUUCCUCCCCAUUCCUUCUCUAAAUAAUGGUCACCAAUCGGACCCUUACUUUUGGAUUUGAUAGUUGUUGGGGUCGGAUUCCCCCACAAGCAAGACCGAGCCAAACAGUCUAAGAAUAACAAUCACCUCAUAGUUAAACAUAUAAAUGGCCCCUAGCCUAGAACAAAGCACCUCGGGACCUUAUUCGAUCGACCGUCCCGAAGAGAGUUUGUAAAAUGGCUCGGGUGUUAAUCAUAUGAACACAGCCCGAGCCAAUCGUGAGAACGCUGCGGGAAACAUCUAUAUCGGCUCGGGAGACAGCCAACUGAGCUUAAUGGAGUCAUCAAGCGCGCCCCGAGCCGGUACAUACCGUUUGCCCCGAAGCCACCUCUCAAACGACCACCGAGCCGUGAAAAACACGCGAGGCAAAGACUUGUAAAAACCAUUCAUUCUCCAAGGAUCUUUUCCGGUAAAAUAGGAUCUUUUAUGGGACUUUCGGAAAUGAUAAAGGAGAAUCUUUGAAGAUAAUGUCGAAAUCAGGAAAUCUCCCCAAAACCUCCGAAGAAUAAGGAGAAUAUCCUUAGGACGAUUAUCCUCUAGAAUCGACCUAAGGAUAAAUAAGAAUCUUCCGAAGAAUAUCGGUAGGGAGGCGGUUUAAGGAUCCUAUAUAAAGUGCCUUAGGGACUUCACAAAGGGGGGAUCUUUGGAUACUCACAAGAAACGCAUAACUUUAUACAUAUUGAGAACUACGAAUGGCUUGAUCCCUUCACAGGGUACGUAGGCAAUCCAUUAUGGAUGCAGCUAUACCUUUUUAAAACCCUAAUUCUUUUUCUGUUCUUGAGCAAACCCUAAUGUAUUUCAGAAGAGAUUAGAACCUCUUUUAUUAUCGAGUCUUGGAUAGAAUACCUAAUGAAGA